This 323-nucleotide ribosomal RNA is filed under the name uncultured eukaryote. Its description in RNAcentral is "partial 18S ribosomal RNA". It matches the Rfam family "Eukaryotic small subunit ribosomal RNA", at positions 1470 to 1796 of the family's 1831-position model. The record is from RNAcentral.
CCCUUAGAUGUUCUGGGCCGCACGCGUGCUAUACUGAACGGUUCAAUGGGUAAGGUAGUGCGAAAGCAUGACCUAAUCUCGAAAUCCGUUCGUGCUGGGGAUAGAAGCUUGCAAUUAUCCUUCUUGAACGAGGAAUACCUUGUAAGCGUGAGUCAUCAUCUCACGCUGAAUACGUCCCUGCCCUUUGUACACACCGCCCGUCGCUCCUACCGAUUGAGUGUUCCGGUGAGGCUUUGGGAGAAUGGCCUCAACAUGAGUUUAUCGUGUUUUGCCGUUUGAACUUAGUCAAACCUUAUCACUUAGAGGAAGGAGAAGUCGUAACA